AGCGAACGCUGGCGGCAGGCCUAACACAUGCAAGUCGAACGAACUCUUCGGAGUUAGUGGCGGACGGGUGAGUAACACGUGGGAACGUGCCUUUAGGUUCGGAAUAACUCAGGGAAACUUGUGCUAAUACCGAAUGUGCCCUUCGGGGGAAAGAUUUAUCGCCUUUAGAGCGGCCCGCGUCUGAUUAGCUAGUUGGUGAGGUAAAGGCUCACCAAGGCGACGAUCAGUAGCUGGUCUGAGAGGAUGAUCAGCCACAUUGGGACUGAGACACGGCCCAAACUCCUACGGGAGGCAGCAGUGGGGAAUCUCGCGCAAUGGGCGAAAGCCUGACGCAGCCAUGCCGCGUGAAUGAUGAAGGUCUUAGGAUUGUAAAAUUCUUUCACCGGGGACGAUAAUGACGGUACCCGGAGAAGAAGCACCGGCGAACUCCGUGCCAGCCGCCGCAGUAA
This 449-nucleotide ribosomal RNA is filed under the name uncultured bacterium. RNAcentral's name for it is "partial 16S ribosomal RNA". It matches the Rfam family "Bacterial small subunit ribosomal RNA", at positions 29 to 523 of the family's 1533-position model. The record is from RNAcentral.